Molecule: transfer RNA, 76 nt
Filed under: Devosia sp.
Lineage: Bacteria; Pseudomonadati; Pseudomonadota; Alphaproteobacteria; Hyphomicrobiales; Devosiaceae
Description: tRNA-Arg
Rfam family: tRNA
About the family: Transfer RNA (tRNA) molecules are approximately 80 nucleotides in length. Their secondary structure includes four short double-helical elements and three loops (D, anti-codon, and T loops). Further hydrogen bonds mediate the characteristic L-shaped molecular structure. tRNAs have two regions of fundamental functional importance: the anti-codon, which is responsible for specific mRNA codon recognition, and the 3' end, to which the tRNAs corresponding amino acid is attached (by aminoacyl-tRNA synthetases). tRNAs cope with the degeneracy of the genetic code in two manners: having more than one tRNA (with a specific anti-codon) for a particular amino acid; and 'wobble' base-pairing, i.e. permitting non-standard base-pairing at the 3rd anti-codon position.
Source: RNAcentral
GGUGGCGUAGCUCAACGGAUAGAGCAGGGGAAUUCUACUCCUCUGGUUGAGGGUUCGAAUCCUUCCGCCAUCACCA